AGCAACUUCUUUCAAACCAUGAAGGAGAUGCUCAGCAGAAUGCUGGAUAGCCUGGAUUAACAGUUAAUGUGUUUGUGUUGGUAAGAGUUUGGGAAAACAAGUUUCAGAAAUGGGCACCAAUCUUCAGUAAUAGUGUGAGUGCAUAGAGUAAACAUCACAGAUAACUGACUGUGUGGCUGGAGCAGAUGGAACCUUUUAUAGCACCAGCUGAGACAAGGUGGGAACACUGCUUUUGCAGGCCUGGAAAGAAGGAAAACACUCUUCUUUUGCUUCUGUAGAAGAGCAACUAUUGUGUUCUCUAUCAUGUCCCUCUCAGGCUCCACUUGAACUCCCCAAAGGACUGUUUGGCAGUACAGAAGCUUUGGUUUAUUUAAUACAGAAGGACCUUUCUUCUUCUUCACCAAUAAUGUUUUGAUCUUAGCUGGGAUUGAGAAGUGCUUCUUCAUUCAUUACGACUACUUGGCAGUGACAUAAAGACAUCCAGUGUUUAGCAGGUCUUCUGAAUGUACAUUGCUUGGAAAGAAAGCUGUGCUUCUUCAUGUAUAAACAUCUCUUAGUCCUGUGAUGCCUGAACAGCUGUGUGUGUUCAAGCUUCAUCCCUUAAUGUACCUCUUCACAAAACUCAAAUUGUACCACUUAUGAAGGGUGGAAUUGCUUUUCUUUGACCAUGCCACUUGGAUCUUGUACUCAGUUUUGUUCUGUUGUUUCUUUUUUUGAUGAUGUUGGGAGCUGUAAACAGCACUAAUGGCAAGAAGAAUGUCUACUGUGGUUCCCAGUUUUAUGUCUGACAGGCUACUCUUGAUGGGUCCAUAAAACAUUUAGUCUAUUUGGUUCACUGUCUGAAGUAGAUAAAACAUAAAAACCUGA
This is a long non-coding RNA of Parus major (Great Tit), 867 nucleotides long. RefSeq lists it as uncharacterized. NCBI's taxonomy places the organism in Eukaryota, Metazoa, Chordata, Aves, Passeriformes, Paridae. The transcript is spliced from 2 exons. The record is from RefSeq and is a predicted model, not a curated record.